UGGUGGAGCUGGGGGGAUUUGAACCCCCGUCCGAAAUUACUACACCGUCGGCACUACAUGCUUAGUCCAAUCAUUACAUUCGCCGGCCAGCUGCGGAUGGACACGCUACUGACAAACUAUCCUGAUUAGUUUUAAUGCUUCCACCCCAGGCAAGGUUUCCACACGAGCUCUUUUAGGUUUGACCUCUCUUGAUCCCCGUCCUAAGAGCGGAGGCUAGGGAGAGAGGGCUCUAAGCAGGUUAUUAAGCUGCUAGUGCGUAGUUUUCGUCGUUUGCAACUAUUUUUUUUGCGGUUUUUUACGAGGCCACCGCACCUCGGCAUGCACCUUGGGUUUCGCGAAUCCCGUCGAAUCCAGAAUCAGCCCC
This 364-nucleotide non-coding RNA is filed under the name Yersinia pestis CO92. Lineage: Bacteria; Pseudomonadati; Pseudomonadota; Gammaproteobacteria; Enterobacterales; Yersiniaceae. The record is from RNAcentral. RNAcentral also lists the same sequence under 1 other name.